UACGUAGGGUGCAAGCGUUGUCCGGAAUUAUUGGGCGUAAAGAGCUCGUAGGCGGUCUGUCGCGUCUGCUGUGAAAACUCAGGGCUUAACCCUGAGCUUGCAGUGGGUACGGGCAGACUAGAGUGCGGUAGGGGAGACUGGAAUUCCUGGUGUAGCGGUGAAAUGCGCAGAUAUCAGGAGGAACACCGGUGGCGAAGGCGGGUCUCUGGGCCGUAACUGACGCUGGAGGAGCGAAAGCCGUGGGGAGCGAACAGG
RNAcentral lists this ribosomal RNA (255 nucleotides) under uncultured bacterium. Its description in RNAcentral is "partial 16S ribosomal RNA". It matches the Rfam family "Bacterial small subunit ribosomal RNA", at positions 524 to 776 of the family's 1533-position model. The record is from RNAcentral.